This 213-nucleotide unclassified non-coding RNA is filed under the name Hevea brasiliensis (rubber tree). The record is from RNAcentral. Lineage: Eukaryota; Viridiplantae; Streptophyta; Magnoliopsida; Malpighiales; Euphorbiaceae.
AUUUUUCCUCAGUCAUACAGCAAUAUAAAUUGCAUAUCAGAAUAAAUGAUUGAGCACAUAACAUCAGAAACUCAUAAUCUUGUGCCUUGAGCAAGGAAGCAAAAUCGCUUCUUAAUGCUUGUCACGGAUCACCCUCUUCCAGCUUUGCUGUAUAACCUGUACAUAAUUUGUAACUGCAAGCUAAUGAGCACCUGGUGCAUCUCUCAUGCUCAU